This 1601-nucleotide ribosomal RNA is filed under the name metagenome. Its description in RNAcentral is "bacterial LSU rRNA". It matches the Rfam family "Bacterial large subunit ribosomal RNA", at positions 1342 to 2925 of the family's 2925-position model. The record is from RNAcentral.
AGACCAAGGGUUCCUGCGCAACGUUAAUCGACGCAGGGUUAGUCGGUUCCUAAGGCGAGGCUGAAAAGCGUAGUCGAUGGGAAACAGGUUAAUAUUCCUGUACUUCUGGUUACUGCGAUGGAGGGACGGAGAAGGCUAGGCCAGCUUGGCGUUGGUUGUCCAAGUUUAAGGUGGUAGGCUGAAAUCUUAGGUAAAUCCGGGGUUUCAAGGCCGAGAGCUGAUGACGAGUCGUCUUUUAGAUGACGAAGUGGUUGAUGCCAUGCUUCCAAGAAAAGCUUCUAAGCUUCAGGUAACCAGGAACCGUACCCCAAACCGACACAGGUGGUCGGGUAGAGAAUACCAAGGCGCUUGAGAGAACUCGGGUGAAGGAACUAGGCAAAAUGGCACCGUAACUUCGGGAGAAGGUGCGCCGGCUAGGGUGAAGGAUUUACUCCGUAAGCUCUGGCUGGUCGAAGAUACCAGGCCGCUGCGACUGUUUAUUAAAAACACAGCACUCUGCAAACACGAAAGUGGACGUAUAGGGUGUGACGCCUGCCCGGUGCCGGAAGGUUAAUUGAUGGGGUUAGCGCAAGCGAAGCUCUUGAUCGAAGCCCCGGUAAACGGCGGCCGUAACGAUAACGGUCCUAAGGUAGCGAAAUUCCUUGUCGGGUAAGUUCCGACCUGCACGAAUGGCGUAACGAUGGCGGCGCUGUCUCCACCCGAGACUCAGUGAAAUUGAAAUCGCUGUGAAGAUGCAGUGUAUCCGCGGCUAGACGGAAAGACCCCGUGAACCUUUACUGUAGCUUUGCACUGGACUUUGAGCCUGCCUGUGUAGGAUAGGUGGGAGGCUUUGAAGCGUGGACGCCAGUUCGCGUGGAGCCAUCCUUGAAAUACCACCCUGGCAUGCUUGAGGUUCUAACUCUGGUCCGUAAUCCGGAUCGAGGACAGUGUAUGGUGGGCAGUUUGACUGGGGCGGUCUCCUCCCAAAGAGUAACGGAGGAGUACGAAGGUGCGCUCAGACCGGUCGGAAAUCGGUCGCAGAGUAUAAAGGCAAAAGCGCGCUUGACUGCGAGACAGACACGUCGAGCAGGUACGAAAGUAGGUCUUAGUGAUCCGGUGGUUCUGUAUGGAAGGGCCAUCGCUCAACGGAUAAAAGGUACUCCGGGGAUAACAGGCUGAUACCGCCCAAGAGUUCAUAUCGACGGCGGUGUUUGGCACCUCGAUGUCGGCUCAUCACAUCCUGGGGCUGAAGCCGGUCCCAAGGGUAUGGCUGUUCGCCAUUUAAAGUGGUACGCGAGCUGGGUUUAGAACGUCGUGAGACAGUUCGGUCCCUAUCUGCCGUGGACGUUUGAGAUUUGAGAGGGGCUGCUCCUAGUACGAGAGGACCGGAGUGGACGAACCUCUGGUGUUCCGGUUGUCACGCCAGUGGCAUUGCCGGGUAGCUAUGUUCGGAAAAGAUAACCGCUGAAAGCAUCUAAGCGGGAAACUUGCCUCAAGAUGAGAUCUCACUGGGAACUUGAUUCCCCUGAAGGGCCGUCGAAGACUACGACGUUGAUAGGCUGGGUGUGUAAGCGUUGUGAGGCGUUGAGCUAACCAGUACUAAUUGCCCGUGAGGCUUGACC